UUUGUAAUUAAAAUGAAACUUCCAUGGCAAUCGAGCAUUAUUUAUUCAAAUAGUUGAGAAAGUUGAAUUAUACUCAGUAAUAAAUAGUUUAAAAUGUGUGCUGCUGACUGCUGUUUGACACUUUGGCACAAACGGAAUAAAAAUGGAAGGGAAAACUUUAACAACUCAUAACUACGAGUGCCCACGGAUGCGUCCGAACAUUUUCUCUGUGCGAGAGGAAAACCAAUUAAACUUUUAGCCCCCAAUAGAACCGAGGGACGUAAAGCCGCAAAAAGUGGGGCGAAGCAUUAAGAAUGUUAUGCUUAUCUACAGCCGAACGAAGCCUUUGGGCAUAAAACGCAUAACCAUAUAGUACAUACAGUAGAUAUGUAUGUACAUAUAUGUAUGCUCGUAUUUUAUAUGUGAAUGCAUGUUGGAAUCUCUUCGGGACCGUUCCAUGCAGCGUCUAUUAAAAUAAAAGCUUUUCCUCCGGCGCAAGCGAAGAGCCACAAAACUUUUGUGUGGGCAUAAAACACAGUUCGGUUGAUGUGGAGCGAAAUGUGGCAUAUUUCAAAUUAAUUAAACGGUCAGGGUGGAACAAAACGACUGAGCCAUGGCUAAUAGCCAUGCACGACCGAAAGAAUGGAAUAUAAAAAAUAAAUAUCAAUCCAGCAGCGGUAACUUAAUUAAUUAACUUUUGUUUAACACUUCAGUGUGGUGCAGUAACGAUUUUCUAUAACCAAAGCCAGCGCUAUAUUGUCAUCACUGAAACGAGUGUAUUCCGAUUGAGAACUCGCUCUCCGCUUGACAGUCAACAGUCAACAGCUGCUGAUUAACACAAAACGACAACAAAACGGCGGAGACAUCACAACAGCAACAGAAACAGCAAACACAGAUAUGUCAAGCGAAUCACCAGACCGGUUAGACCCCAAAACCCCAACAAAAUGCAAUGCUCCGCCGCACCAAUUAACUACAAUUACCCAUGGAGAGCUAGUGUACUCACAAACAUCCAUUUGGUCAAGAAGUACAUGGUCAGCUCCAGAUGCACUUGCUCUGCAGUUCGCGGGGUAUCCACAUGCCCCGAAACUAACUCACGCGACUAUCUAAUCUCUCGGCGAACUACGCUUAGCGUGCGUACACGGUGGGAAAUAUUUUCGAAUCGGUAGAUAAGCAC
Drosophila yakuba is the source of this 1153-nucleotide long non-coding RNA. RefSeq lists it as uncharacterized. The transcript has 2 exons. Lineage: Eukaryota; Metazoa; Arthropoda; Insecta; Diptera; Drosophilidae. The record is from RefSeq and is a predicted model, not a curated record.